This 586-nucleotide ribosomal RNA is filed under the name uncultured bacterium. RNAcentral describes it as "bacterial SSU rRNA". It matches the Rfam family "Bacterial small subunit ribosomal RNA", at positions 338 to 916 of the family's 1533-position model. The record is from RNAcentral.
CCUACGGGAGGCAGCAGUGGGGAAUUUUGGACAAUGGGCGAAAGCCUGAUCCAGCAAUGCCGCGUGAGUGAAGAAGGCCUUCGGGUUGUAAAGCUCUUUUGUCAGGGAAGAAACGGUGAGGGCUAAUAUCCCUUGCUAAUGACGGUACCUGAAGAAUAAGCACCGGCUAACUACGUGCCAGCAGCCGCGGUAAUACGUAGGGUGCAAGCGUUAAUCGGAAUUACUGGGCGUAAAGCGUGCGCAGGCGGUUUUGUAAGUCUGAUGUGAAAUCCCCGGGCUCAACCUGGGAAUUGCAUUGGAGACUGCAAGGCUAGAAUCUGGCAGAGGGGGGUAGAAUUCCACGUGUAGCAGUGAAAUGCGUAGAUAUGUGGAGGAACACCGAUGGCGAAGGCAGCCCCCUGGGUCAAGAUUGACGCUCAUGCACGAAAGCGUGGGGAGCAAACAGGAUUAGAUACCCUGGUAGUCCACGCCCUAAACGAUGUCUACUAGUUGUCGGGUCUUAAUUGACUUGGUAACGCAGCUAACGCGUGAAGUAGACCGCCUGGGGAGUACGGUCGCAAGAUUAAAACUCAAAAGGAAUUGACGG